CUUUUCUAUGGAAGCUUGCUUCCACUGAGAAGAUAGUGGCGAACGGGUGAGUAACACGUGGGUAACCUGCCCAUAAGAGGGGGAUAACAUCCGGAAACGGGUGCUAAUACCGCAUAGUUUUCUUGAUCGCAUGAUCGGGAAAGGAAAGACGGCCUUUGUGCUGUCGCUUAUGGAUGGACCCGCGGCGUAUUAGUUAGUUGGUGAGGUAACGGCUCACCAAGACGAUGAUACGUAGCCGACCUGAGAGGGUGAUCGGCCACAUUGGGACUGAGACACGGCCCAAACUCCUACGGGAGGCAGCAGUAGGGAAUCUUCCGCAAUGGACGAAAGUCUGACGGAGCAACGCCGCGUGAGUGAAAGAAGGUUUUCGGAUCGUAAAACUCUGUUGUCAGAGAAGAACAAGUUGGAGAGUAACUGCUCCAGCCUUGACGGUAUCUGACCAGAAACGCCACGGCUAACUACGUGCCAGCCGCCGC
This 476-nucleotide ribosomal RNA is filed under the name uncultured bacterium. RNAcentral's name for it is "bacterial SSU rRNA". It matches the Rfam family "Bacterial small subunit ribosomal RNA", at positions 67 to 518 of the family's 1533-position model. The record is from RNAcentral.